CCUGAAUAAAUGAUUACUCAAAUUAGCGCACUUCCAAAGACUAUCAACAAGUUUAGGCGACUCGAUUUUGUGUAGCUUUCUGUCCUUUUUAACGGUUUAGUUUUUACACUUAACAUGUUUUCAUAUCCAAACUGCAAGAAGGAAACUGAUCGCGAGAUUGUAUACAAGUGUCAUGUUGUGAGGAUACAUGUGGAUCGGACUG
RNAcentral lists this long non-coding RNA (202 nucleotides) under Mytilus galloprovincialis (Mediterranean mussel). The record is from RNAcentral. Lineage: Eukaryota; Metazoa; Mollusca; Bivalvia; Mytilida; Mytilidae.